AUACGUAGGUGGCAAGCGUUGUCCGGAAUUAUUGGGCGUAAAGCGCAUGUAGGCGGUUUGGUAAGUCGGUCGUGAAAAUGCGGUGCUUAACGCCGUAUGGCGAUUGAAACUGCUGAACUUGAGUGCAGGAGAGGAAAGGGGAACUCCCAGUGUAGCGGUGAAAUGCGUAGAUAUUGGGAAGAACACCGGUGGGGAAGGCGCCUUUCUGGACUGUGUCUGACGCUCAGAUGCGAAAGCCAGGGUAGCGAACGGGAUUAGAUACCCCGGUAGUCCUGGCCGUAAACGAUGGGUACUAGGUGUGGGAGGUAUCGACUCCUUCCGUGCCGGAGUUAACGCAAUAAGUCCCCCGCCUGGGGAGUACGGCCGCAAGGCUUAAACUCAAAUGAAUUGGCGGGG
Molecule: ribosomal RNA, 396 nt
Filed under: uncultured bacterium
Lineage: Bacteria
Description: partial 16S ribosomal RNA
Rfam family: Bacterial small subunit ribosomal RNA
Source: RNAcentral